GUAGCCAUCGGAUAAAGGUUAGCAACCAGUCAUUAGUUAGUCUCGGGCUUGUUAUGGUGAUGUAACAAGUUAAGUGUAGACAAACAAGGUACUAGGCCGCAAGCGAAUGCUGAAACUAUUAGCCACGAAAUGUUGAGUAAAAUGGAAAGGACGAUGAUUUUCGGGAAUUAGAAGUCAGAACAUAGAUAUUAGAUAUUGCUAGAAUAUAUAUGCUUUCCCGUGGUUCGAAGGUG
This 233-nucleotide non-coding RNA is filed under the name Clostridium algidicarnis DSM 15099. The record is from RNAcentral. Lineage: Bacteria; Bacillati; Bacillota; Clostridia; Eubacteriales; Clostridiaceae.